This 497-nucleotide ribosomal RNA is filed under the name uncultured bacterium. RNAcentral's name for it is "partial 16S ribosomal RNA". It matches the Rfam family "Bacterial small subunit ribosomal RNA", at positions 28 to 507 of the family's 1533-position model. The record is from RNAcentral.
GACGAACGCUGGCGGCGUGCCUAAUACAUGCAAGUUGAGCGAUGAAGAUUGGUGCUUGCACCAAUUUGAAGAGCAGCGAACGGGUGAGUAACGCGUGGGGAAUCUGCCUUUGAGCGGGGGACAACAUUUGGAAACGAAUGCUAAUACCGCAUAACAACUUUAAACAUAAGUUUUAAGUUUGAAAGAUGCAAUUGCAUCACUCAAAGAUGAUCCCGCGUUGUAUUAGCUAGUUGGUGAGGUAAAGGCUCACCAAGGCGAUGAUACAUAGCCGACCUGAGAGGGUGAUCGGCCACAUUGGGACUGAGACACGGCCCAAACUCCUACGGGAGGCAGCAGUAGGGAAUCUUCGGCAAUGGACGAAAGUCUGACCGAGCAACGCCGCGUGAGUGAAGAAGGUUUUCGGAUCGGAAAACUCUGUUGGUAGAGAAGAACGUUGGGGAGAGUGGAAAGCUCAUCAAGUGACGGUAACUACCCAGAAAGGGACGGCUAACUACGUG